RNAcentral lists this ribosomal RNA (367 nucleotides) under uncultured organism. RNAcentral describes it as "bacterial LSU rRNA". It matches the Rfam family "Bacterial large subunit ribosomal RNA", at positions 2099 to 2465 of the family's 2925-position model. The record is from RNAcentral.
CUUUACUGUAACUUGAAAUUGAAAUUGGACUUUAGUUGCGCAGUAUAGGUGGGAGGUUUUGAGAAUCUUCUUGCGGGAAGAUUGGAGCCAUCAGUGAGAUACCACUCUUCUAAUGUUAGAUUUCUAACUUUGAAUCAUGAUCUGGUCAAAGAACAGUUUCAGGCGGGCAGUUUGACUGGGGCGGUCGCCUCCCAAAUGGUAACGGAGGCGUACAAAGGUUUCCUCUGAACGGGUAGAAAUCGUAUCUAGAGUGUAAAGGCAUAAGGAAGCUUGACUGUGAGACCUACAAGUCGAGCAGGGACGAAAGUCGGUCUUAGUGAUCUGACGGUGCUGAGUGGAAAGGCCGUCACUCAACGGAUAAAAGUUA